Taxawa tesnikishii (nom. ined.) is the source of this 89-nucleotide non-coding RNA. The record is from the annotation of a GenBank genome assembly. NCBI's taxonomy places the organism in Eukaryota, Fungi, Ascomycota, Dothideomycetes, Dothideales.
GCCCCUUUAGCUCAGUUGGUAGAGCGCGACACUAGUAUCUACGGAACACUUGAAAUGUCGAGGUCAGCUGUUCGAAUCAGCUAGGGGCA